This 873-nucleotide ribosomal RNA is filed under the name uncultured Pseudomonadales bacterium. RNAcentral describes it as "bacterial SSU rRNA". It matches the Rfam family "Bacterial small subunit ribosomal RNA", at positions 28 to 896 of the family's 1533-position model. The record is from RNAcentral. Lineage: Bacteria; Pseudomonadati; Pseudomonadota; Gammaproteobacteria; Pseudomonadales.
ACUGAACGCUGGCGGCAGGCCUAACACAUGCGAGUCGAGCGGAUGAAGGGGGCUUGCUCCUGGAUUCAGCGGCGGACGGGUGAGUAAUGCCUAGGAAUCUGCCUGGUAGUGGGGGAUAACGUCCGGAAACGGGCGCUAAUACCGCAUACGUCCUGAGGGAGAAAGUGGGGGAUCUUCGGACCUCACGCUAUCAGAUGAGCCUAGGUCGGAUUAGCUAGUUGGUGGGGUAAAGGCCUACCAAGGCGACGAUCCGUAACUGGUCUGAGAGGAUGAUCAGUCACACUGGAACUGAGACACGGUCCAGACUCCUACGGGAGGCAGCAGUGGGGAAUAUUGGACAAUGGGCGAAAGCCUGAUCCAGCCAUGCCGCGUGUGUGAAGAAGGUCUUCGGAUUGUAAAGCACUUUAAGUUGGGAGGAAGGGCAGUAAGUUAAUACCUUGCUGUUUUGACGUUACCAACAGAAUAAGCACCGGCUAACUUCGUGCCAGCAGCCGCGGUAAUACGAAGGGUGCAAGCGUUAAUCGGAAUUACUGGGCGUAAAGCGCGCGUAGGUGGUUCAGCAAGUUGGAUGUGGAAUCCCCGGGCUCAACCUGGGAACUGCAUCCAAAACUACUGAGCUAGAGUACGGUAGAGGGUGGUGGAAUUUCCUGUGUAGCGGUGAAAUGCGUAGAUAUAGGAAGGAACACCAGUGGCGAAGGCGACCACCUGGACUGAUACUGACACUGAGGUGCGAAAGCGUGGGGAGCAAACAGGAUUAGAUACCCUGGUAGUCCACGCCGUAAACGAUGUCGACUAGCCGUUGGGAUCCUUGAGAUCUUAGUGGCGCAGCUAACGCGAUAAGUCGACAGCCUGGGGAGUACGGCCGCAAGGUUA